CUGAAAUCAUGACCCCAGCCGAAAUGAAGAGUGGGACACUCAACUGACAGAGCCACCCAGGCAUCCUUGGAAUUGAAUCUUGAACAGAGGGACUCAGGAACACAAGAAACACUGUUUACUUUUUCAGAUUUAGAGGUGACCAUGCUUUGGGAUUUUCAUAGUUUGAGUUAAUUCCUCUGGGCUCCGCCACCCAGUGAGUUAAACAGGACAAGAUUCCACCCAGAGGAUUGUGGUUCUGGGAAUGUAAGCAGCUUGUUUUCAUGAGAUCUGCACCCUGACCUGGCCUACUGUUAGGAGCGGUUGUGUUGGUGGUUGUGUGUUUUUAGUCGUUUUUUCUAUCUUAUACAGUUAUUUGUAUAUAAACAUUUUUUAAAGUAAAUAUUUUAUGGGGAUGUUUUGUUUAUCCAAAGAAAAAUUAAAACUAUUUUGAAGUAAUUACAUGUGUCAUAUUUUUCUCUUUCAAAAUAAAUGAAAGUAUUAAUUCAUAGUUUCUGGAAAGAAAAUGAAAACCCCAGAAAUGGCUAUGUUCUUAAUGUUUGAAAAUAGGGUAAUAUUAUUCUCUGUUCGAAUGGAGUCUUCCAAGGAAUUACUAGAGUCUCAUACACAAUCGACUUAAAUGCAUUCUUUAUCUUUAAAAGGAAGCAGAAUAGAAUCAUUGAGUAAGUCACAUGUGUUCGCAGCCUUGUCUGGUGUAAUCAUAUCCUACACAAACACAUUAUUCUCUAGUCAGAAGGGUAAGGGGAAUUUGAAACAGGACCUGCCCUUGUGGAGCCCUUUUUUUAUUUAAAGAAUAGUGCAGUGAGAGACCACAUAGUAGAAGAUAACAGAAAAUAUCUUCCACGCCUUCCUCAACCUGUAUACUUUCUCAUUCUCUUUUGUUCUCUAAGGACAUCUGUGGUAAUGAUUAUUCUGUAAAACUCAUAGGUAUAUAGCAGAAGGCAUAUCAUAUUUCAUUUAUUAUUUUGUCUACUAUAAUUAUUGCUCUUUUACAUCAUGCCAUUGUACGUCUUUAAAAUAUUUUGUUUAUAAAAGAUAUGAAAGGAUAUUACAGAAAAUUUAUUGGUUAACUAUAGAUAUCUAAAGAGUAAAUGUUUUAACUCUGAAUUUAAUUAUAUCUUAGGAAGUCUAAUAGAUUUGUAUUAAGCUACAUUUUAAAGAGAUAAAUGUGGUUAAAAGAGAUGCUAAAAUCUGAAUUUAAUUUUCCUUUUUUAUAUUAAUUGCAGUGGAUUUUUAAAAAUGUCCUAACGUAGGCAUUUAAAAGAUAUUCUUAAUUACAAACAACAGUGACGUGAGAUUUUGGAGGCUUUAAAAUAGGUCCAUUAUUUGAAAUGUUUUCAACAUUUUGAUGGCUGGUUUGCUGUCUAUAUAAUGGUUGCAAUUAAAAAUUAAACUUUAAAAAAAAUUAAACUUUUUAAAAAAAAUAAUUUUUUUUUAAAAUUCAAGUUUUUACUUCUUAUUAAGGGUUUUUAUAUUGCCUCCCAGUUUUCCCCUAGGUUAAUCCUUUGGGAAUUUUGAAAUUUACAUCUGAAGGGGUUUUUUUUAAUCUUUUUAUUAUAAAAAUUUUGAACACAUACAAAAAUAGAACAAAUAGUAUGAUGAGCCCCCAAGUUAUAUUUGAGCUUUAAGUGAUAUAUUAGUAUAAGUGCUACAUUUAUUAAUACAACAGAUGUUCAGGAACUCCAGGAAUGGUUGUGGCUUAAUACACACUUGAAAGAAUCUGUAUAAAUCAAAUUUUUAAAAAUAUCCCACCAUUUCCCAACCUAUGACAGACUGUAUUUCAAAUGUUUGUUGAUGGUCAGCCAAUUUUUGGACCUACAAAUAUGAUUCUCAUAGAAAUAAUCUUAAAAUGGCUAUUUGCUUUUCAGGCCAACUCUCAGAAAUUUGUCUAAUUCACAUUAAGGGAAACCCAUACAUCUCUUUUAACAUCAUUUCAAUGAGAAAAUGCUUCCUUUACAAUUGGAAUACUACGGAACAACUGCCACCCAUCUUCUCUUCUACUAAGUAUGGGGGAUAGGAAAGUGGGGAGUCAAGCUCUGGUGAUGGAGAUUCAUUUCCAUGAUGGGCUCUUGAUUCUCUCAGAAAAACCAGUGGGAACUCUGAGAAGACAGUAGGAGGGUGGGGGGAUGGGAGUGCACUCUGUACACACCAUUCUGAAAUUAUUUACCUUUUCUUCAGCUAGUGGAGUUUUUGGGGUUUUUUUUAACGCCUAUUAAAAAAAAGAGGGGUGCCUGGGUGGCUCAGUUGGUCAACUUCCGAUUCUUGAUUUUAGCUCAGGUCAUGAUCUCAGGGUCAUGUGAUCAAGCCCCAUGUUGGGCUCUGCCCUAAGUGGGGAGUCUGCCUGGGAUUCUCUCUCUCCCUCUCCCUCUCCCUCUCCCCCCCCCCACACGGAGCACACAUCCUCUAAAAAUAAAUAAAAAACACUUGCUUAAAAAAAUAAAAAAGAAACCUUCCUUUGUAAAACAAAUACCGUGUCAUAUCUGAAGUUUACAUUUUACAGACUUUUAAAUUAGGCUUCUGAUUUUUUUCUUUAAGUUUCUGACACAGGGGAAAAUUAUUUUCACUGCUGAGAUAUGCCUAAGACAACAAGAAAAGAUUCCUGACUACUAAAACAGAAAAUUAGAAAAUAAACAUAAGUAUUAAAUUGCCAAUAAGCUAAAAUCAGACGGAUGCAAUAAUGUUUAUAGUGAACCUCUAAGUAGUAUUAAGCUUUUAGAGUAUCUGGGAAUGACAAAGCAGAAAGAUGGGUUCUGAUGCUUUUGUCAUGCCACCCUAUACUCACACUGUUCCAAAUUGACCUUAAAUUCUUAUUUUUCCAAAACCCUUCUCUAAGCAAAAACUUGGAGCCAUAGAACUGUGCUCAUCAACUUCUCGUUUUCAUUCUGUAUGCAAUCUGAAAUAAAAUGGGAACUAGAGCAAGUGCUUUACGGGUAGAGCAACAGGGUCAAGAUCCAGAAAGCAUGGAAUAGCUGAAAACAAGGUCAGCUCAGAGCUAGGAACUCCAAACAUUGCAAUGCUUUCUGAGCCUGAGACAGUCGCUUAACCUCCCAAGGUAGUAAAAUGAAUGGUUGAAAUGAAUCAGCCCUAUUUCUUCUAGUUCUAAAAGUCCCAUCUGUGAAUGGCCAUCCUUGAUCCUGUAAAGUCUUUAAAUGCUAGUGUGGUGUGACUGUUACCCUCUCAGCUAAGUUAGGUUCCAUGUGUAUGCUUGUGAAUGCUUGACGGCAGGCCCCCAAAGCAGGCUAGCCUCGUUUUCCAGAGGGAGUAAUGCCAGUACUCCUAAGUACAAAAAGAACCAGGCAUACUUUGUGAUGAGUCCACCGAAGGUCCCACAGCGUGAUCUACCAUAGCUUCACUCCUGACCCAUGCUCCCAUCAGAUAAAGGGCCUACUGUGUGUUAAGUACUGUAGUAAUGAGGUAACUUACAUGUUACUGUAUUAAUCCCUACAGUAACCCUAAGAAUGGGGGUAUUGUCAUUUUACAGAUGAGGAAGUUUGCUAAGAACCUUAGUGAUGGAGCUAGUGAAUGGUAAAACUACAUUCAACCUGCUAUAAGGGGGAUGAACUACAGAUCACUUAUUUAAACCCACCCGCUAAACUAGCUAAGGAGAGAAAACCAAGAAGGCUUCUCUUAAACUCACCAGCAGUUUUAAGAACUCUGGCUCCUCUGCCUAGGGGACCUGGCCCUCACAACUCCCAGAGUUAGCUCAUUUUCUCAAGAUCCACUCCCUGCCCCCCCAUACACACACAUACACACACAAGUCCAGGGUAAGCCUAUCCCCUCCCAGCCCUUCUGAAGUCUCAGGAGAGUGGCCUGCUGCUUUCACAAGGCUCCUGCAGCUAGAAACCCAGUCCUCUCUAACCCAGAUGAGGAAACUCUGGACUUGAUAUUAAGGUAUUGUUCCAGAAGAACUCUUCAAGUAUGAGGGAAGCCCCUCCCUGCCUACCGGUGGUGCUGAGAGUGCCAGAGGCCAAGAUCCCCUGCCAACCAGUGCAAGUCGGGGAAGAGCCUGCAUGAAGGUAGUAGCUCAAGAGGAAUAGAAAUAAACUGCGAGGAACUGGAGUUGUCUGGUGAUCUUAGCGAGGAGCUUCGAGGCGCAGGAAAGUUUCUUCUGCCCAAGAAAGUUUCUUCUGCAUCAAUAACUUCUCCAGUAACUUCAAGGAUGGCUACUUCUAGAUCCCUGAAUUCCUAACUGCUGAUGAAGGAGAAUCCAAAUUUUAGAUAUCAGAGUAAGAAACUCCCCAGAAACAGCAGAGGGCUGUUCUCAAGGUAUGUUUCUGGGACCAGCAGCAUUAGCCUCACCUGGGAACUUGUUAAAGAUGCAAAUGAUUGAGCCCCCCCUGAAUCAGAAGUGGGAUCCAGGAAUAUGUGUUUUCACAACCAUCCAGGUGGUCCUGAUGUACACUAAAGUUUGAAAACCACUGGCCUAGGAAAAUGAAGGAUAAUCCCAGGUUCUCUACAUUAACCUAGAAUUAAUCUGCAACACCUGCCUAGGGCGAGAGUCUCCCCUCCCCUCCCCCACCCCAACUUUAACCAGUGCUAGAGCUCAGUGGUUAGAGUUAGGUGACUUUCCCAACCAAGGCUAUUGCCUAGUUGCUCAUUAUUUUCCUUGAAAACUCCUAGGAAAAUUUUGGGCAGAUAGCAGAUGAUCAGUAAUGACUGAACUGAAAUUUUAAAACAUUGUUUAUGAUAGGGAAAUUGGAAAUAACUUCAAUGUCUAUUAAUAGGAUUUCGAUUAAAAACAAAUUCUAGGAGGAUUGGGUCCAACACCGACCAAUACUACGUUCACUAUAUUCUUAUUGCCUAACAUAGUAUAAAUAUUUAAUAUUUGUUGAUUGAAUGAAUAAAUAUAUCUUCAUAUAUAUUCAAGUCCUGAAGUACAAUGCAGCAUUAAAAAAAGAUGUUUUCUAAUAGCAAUCCCACUCCUGUGUAUUUACCCAAAAACCUGGAAGUCAAUGUUUAUAGCAACUCUACUCAUAAUUGCCAAAAUUUGGAAACAACUCAAAUGUUCUUCACCUGAUGAGUGGAUCAGGGCGGGACCACAUUUCAGGAAGUAGUUAAAGGUACCUUAUUUUAUGUUACUGUAUGAAUUUUUUUCAAAGAAUUUAUUUAUAUAUUAUGUUAAGAAAUAAACAACAUUUUAAAUACUGGAAGGGUAAACACCCAAAAUGUUAAUAAUAGUUAUCUCUGGUUGAUGGGAUGACAAGUGGUUUUUGUUUUCUUUUGUCUUAUUUCUAGUUUCUAAUUUUUCAGUAUAAACAAGUUAUGCUAUUAUAACUAGAAAAAAAAAACAAGUUACUUUUUAAAAUGGGGAGACCUGGAAGCAUAGCGACUCAUAAAAAAUGUAUACAAAUUAGAAAUGUGUAAAUUAUAAGAAUAUUCAAAACUAAGUUUCACUGAAAAAAGAAUUUGGAUACCACCCUCUAGAAUAGUGCUUCUGAAAGUCCUUACAAAUCACCUGCAGUGCUUGUUGAGAUGCAGAUUCUCAUUCCAAGAAUUUGCAUUUCUAACAAGCUCCCACAUGAUCCCAACGCUCCUGGUCCACGGAGGACUUUGAGUAUCAGGGCUCUAAAACUACUGCUGUCAAGAAAGCAGCCACUAAGCCACAUGUGGCUCUUAAGUAUUUGGAAUGUGGCUAGUCAGAAUUGAGAUGUACAAAUGUAAAAUACACACUGGCUUUUGAAGACUUAACACACACACACAAAGAAUGUAAAACAUCUUAACAAUUAUAUUAAGUAUAUGUUGAAAUGAUUUUUUGAACAUAUGAUGUUAAAGAACCUAUAUCAUUAAAAUUAAUUUCACAUGUUUCUUUUUACCAUUUUAAUGUGGCUACUAGAAAAUUUUAAAUCACAUUUGUGGUUUGCAUUUUUUGGCUUGUAUUAUAUUUUUAUUGGAUAGUACUGAUCUAGAAAAACCAUUAACAGGAUUUUACUUCACUCUGGGUCUUAAAUCACCAAUAUAAUGCAGGAAAAGGAUUAAUACCCCAUUAAUGGCCAAACUGGCAACUUUUGUAUAUACACAUAAACAUUUGUAGGAAUUCUGAAAAUCUAUAGGUAGAGGUUGAGACAAAUACAAAUCAAAAUUUUAGACCAGGUGGGAAAUUUUGAGGUCAUCAAGUUGGAACCCCUUGUCUUGCGAAAUUAUUUAUCAAUUUGACAAAGAUGGAUUCAGUACUUCAUAUCUGUAAAUGCUGAAUAGGUACUGACAUGACAGUUAAGUGACUGCAGUGGGGAGCCUCCCCUGAAGAAGCUAAGGAUGAUAGCAGUGGUCUGUCAGAGGACCCCAGGAGGCAGGUUGAUGGAGGACUCACAGGUUGAUGGAGGCAGAGGCCAACACAGACUCCAUUUUCCUGAGAAGAAUCAGAUGAGCUCCACACAUGAGGGCUUACUGGGCCGGCUCUCAGUUUCCCCAGGUUUUAUAGCUUCUGUUUGGUAUUAACGAUGCAAAUAAGGCUUUAAGAUUAGCUGUUUUUUAAGUAAUCAAUGCAAUGCAAGGCAUGCUGUCCCCUCCUCCCUCACACAAAAGACACUUUUCAGAAAGCAAAGACGCUUAGACCUGAGAAACUUUGAAACUUUGAAACUUUGAACAUGGUUGAUGGCAGCAGAGUGAAAUCUGGAGUUUGGCAGAAGCACCAUCAGCCUUCAAUUAUGUGUGCAAAUGAGGGGCAAGAAGUGCUGAGGUGAUUAAAAUCUAUGAAUAAAUCAAAAAGCUCAUUUUAGUGAUUAUUUUUUAAAUUUAUUUAUCAAGAAUAUCUUGGGCGCCUGGGUGGCUCAGUUGGUUAAGCGACUGCCUUCGGCUCAGGUCAUGAUCCUGGAGUCCCUGGAUCGAGUCCUGCAUCGGGCUCCCUGCUCAGCAGGGAGCCUGCUUCUCCCUCUAACCCUCCCCCCUCUCAUGUACUCUCUCUCUAUCAUUCUCGCUCUCUCAAAUAAAUAAAUAAAUCUUUAAAAAAAAAAAAAGAAUAUCUUUAACACCAGAGACAUCACAACUGAAAUUUGUUCUUAUUGGAGUUACAUUUCCUUUCUGUGAGGGAAUGAAAAGACAAAUUUAGGAUAAAUAAUAAAGCUUUUCAGUGAAUUACGAAAAUUCUUGUUACUCCAAGAGGUAGUAUAGGCUGAAAACAUAAACAACCCUUUACAGUUUUUUUUAGUUAAAAUCUGGGUCUCCCCCCUGCCCUCCUGCCAUAAUGUUUCUACCAUUUAUAAUACAGUAUUAAAGGAAUCCAGGUUGCUUUGGUAUGCAUUCUUAACCUAUCCUUCAUUACAUGCACAGACCCAACGGCCCAUGUGAUCAUGGGUUGGAUCUAAUCUGAACAUUUGUAUUAUUCAUUUUCAACCAAUAUUUUUUAAAUUGCCCAUCUGGAAAAAGUCAAACCUACCUGAGAAUGGCCGGAUGGGCCUUGCCCAAGAGUGAAAAACUGCCUAAAGACAUUCAAAACUAAAACUUGGACUAAGCAGAAUAAAUAGUUCUGUGUAAGAAUUAUAACUGCUUUCCUCUGUCUUUAAGAAUAGUUGGAACAGCAUUUCUAGAACCUUAAAUGUUUGCUAGCAAGCAGUGAGUUUGUUUCAUUGAUUUUGCUUCAUUCAUACCAAAAAGUAGAGUAUACUGACUCUUCAGUUGGCUUUGCAUAUUCCUAAUGAUCUUUUUAAAAUAUUUAUUUAUUUAUUUAUUUUAAGGGGGGCGGGUGUGGAGAGGGGCAGAGGGAGAGAAUCUCAAGCAGACUCCCGGCUGAGCAUGGGGCUCAUUGUGGGCUCCACACAGGCUCAGCGUGGGGCUCAACUGGGAACUCAAUCUCACGACCCAGAGAUCAUGACCUGAGCCGAAACCAAGAGUUAGACACUUAACUGACUGAGCCACCCAGGUGCCCCUAUUCACAACGAUUUUUUAAACAUCUCAUUCCCCAACAUGAGCAGUAAUUAUUUAUAGGAAGUGGCCUAAUUUUUUUUUAAAGAUUUUAUUUAUUUAUUUGACAGAGAGAAUGAGAGAGGGAACACAAGCAGGGGGAGUGGGAGAGGGAGAAGCAGGCCUCCCACGGAGCCCGAUGCGGGGCUCGAUCCCAGGACCCUGGGAUCAUGACCUGGGGCGAAGGCAGAUGCUCAACUACUGAGCCACCCAGGCACCCCAAGAAGUGGCCUAAUUUUUAAAAAUAAUAAUCUGCUAUCCCCUCCACACACAAAAGGAAAACUCAUAAUUUCCCUGUUAAAAAUAUGUCUGUUAUAAAGAUACAUGUCCUUUGGAUCCCCAUGUUGUGGGAUGCGGGCAAUCCCUGUCUUGGAAUAUCCCCUAAUGGAAGGACUAGGGAUGAUGAGACAGUUACAAAAGAUUUAGAUUCUGGAAAAAUAUAUACAUGUAAGUGUAGUCCAAUAAUGUAAUUUAAGUAUGAUUUUUCCCCCCUUCAAAUACAGAGUUUUAGGAGAAUAAGAUGUUUUAGGAGAAUCAACACACUGCUCAUGUCUCAUGAAACUCCAAGAUUGCUUUUCUCUUUUUCUGAGUUGCAUCAAUAGAAGAAAUAUGAAAUGAUAAUUAGUCUUCUUCUCACCUUAUCAUAGGUUUUCUAGAUCUAUAAUUUUGAUGCAUAGUAUAUUUAUGAUACAACUUACACCCUUAUUUAUUUGAGAUGAAUUAUUAGAUGCUAUUUGCAGGCCGUGAAAAAAUCACCACUCAUUUCUUUCUAAGCCUCCGAUAUCAGGUGGUCAUUAGAGAGUUUCACAGCCUUUUUGAAAAAAUUUCUAAUCAUCCAACCCUUUAAACAAGUAUUUUCCCCUCUAUGACAUUAAUUUCUCCUUGAAGUGUUUACUUCAGUUAUAAUUUUAGGGGAAAUGGGAAAUACAAUGAUAAGUGCAUUUACGUUCAUAAUGUGCUGAUUCUCUUUUGAAAGGAGUCUGGUAAUAAAGAAGGAAUUCAAACAAAUGCAAUCUAGUUUCUGCGAAAGUACAAGAAAGCUACAGAUCUGCCAACAUUCCGUUCACAUUGAGCUAUGCAUUUCUGAGGCAGGUCUACCCUUACUAGAGGGCAGAAUUUUCCCUCUCUCUCCAGAGAAUAGGCAUAAUAAAGAUGGAUAGCCAUUGAUAAUUACUUGGCUUCAAAAUGAUGCCUUCUUCAUGUCCAUAGAUUUAGGAGCAAGAUGUUUAGAGAACUGUUCCAAAUGUCUGUUGGGUUGAAAAGACCAACCACGGCAAAUCCAAACUUCAUUUUCUUACUCUCCUAAUCCACUGAUUUAUACCUUCUCCUCAUCUAGCCACCAAUACCUCCUGCCCCACUAUCCUGAUCACCCUUGCUUCCUCUUUCCCUGAGAAGUAGGAGUAAUCGGAAAAGAACUUUCACGGACCACACCGCUGGGUCCACAGUCACCUACCGGCAUCUGUGCCCAUGUUGUCUGCCUGCCUUCCUGUUUCUUGCUCCAAAUGAGACCUUCCCAGCUCCACUUCUCUGUGGCUUGUGCACCAGAUCCCAUCCCUUCCCCUGCUCAAGGAUAGUGAAUCAGCAACUCUCCCCUCUCCCCUGCGUCAUCAUUCCCACCCUCUCUCCUGGAUCACUCCCAUUCAUCUAAAGGACUACCACUUAAGUGGGAACAGUCAUCAGCUCUCUCUUGGAUUCUUGUAGGAGCCUCCUAACUGGCCACCUUCUUUCAGCCUCUGCUCCCCUUUGGUCUGUACUCAUCUCAACAGCCAGCAUGCUUCUGCGGAAAUCCAAGGAGAUCUUAUCACUCCUUUGCUCAAAACCCUCCCCAGGCUUCACACCUCAGGGAGUAUAAAAGCUGGAGUCCUUACAAAGGUGUUGUAAGGUCCUGUUUGGUCCUCCCGGCCCUCCUCCUCCCUUUAUCACUUGCACUCCACCUGCUUCUCCCCCUGGGCUCUUGCUGCACCAGCCACAACAAUGCUAUAUACCACUUGUACCAGAUUCUCACAUAGAUUGUUCCCUUCCUUCCUUUGAUCUUUCCUCUAACAUCACCUUCUCAAUAAGGUCUUUCCUGCCCAUUCUUGGAAAUGAUAACUCCCCCUACCUCCCCUGCUCUAUUUAUUUUUCACUUCUCUUCAUGUGGUGAAAUACUAUGUUUUCACUUAAUUGUUGUUUACAGUCUCUUUGCCCUCACCCCAAGUAAGAUCCAUGAGUGGUUGGGAUUUUUCCCCCUUUUUACCUCCUUCCCAUAUUAUGGGUAUAUUCCCUGAACAUAGUAAAUGCUCAAUAAAUAUCUGUUAAAAGAAUGAAUCUGUCUUUAUGGAAGUGUAACUGGAAAAUAAUGUGGGUGUAGUGUAAGCCCUGAUAGUUGUUUUUUGUUCUUCUUUUUUUGUUGUUUGUUUGUUUUUUAUAAUGCAAAUGCCUGAUUUAAGAUUUGAUUGCAUCCGCUUCAAAGAGGCAUUCACUUCAAAGACGGCUAUUUCCAACAGACACGUUGCCAGCCACACGACUAGAUACAGAGCCAGGCCGCCUCCCUCCGUUGAGGUUCCUUUGUUUUAGAGAUCUUGGUUGAUCUUGAUAACUGACCAUUUGGGCCACUUGUUUUUUCCUAGGCUUUAAAUUCCUGCUUUUACAUUUUAAACUCACCAAUAAAGAGUGAGGUGAAACCUUAGACUCCCAACUUCACCCCCAAUAAAAGCAGAACCCCAGGUCCCUGCACUCACUGUGCUUUCUCUUUCUACCCAUGACCUUGCUGUGUGGCCCCCAGUGUGCCGUGUAGUUUCCAGGUCCUCUUAGUAAUAAAACUUUAUUUUUUUUUUUCAACGUUUCCUGACAGUUAUUGCUGAAGGGCAUCUUGCAAUGAUCAGAACCACAAGGACCACUCUAGCCGCAACACUGGUGAUUGACAGGCUGAGACCAACACACAACUGGCCUUGCAUGAUUGCCCUUGCAAUUAACCGCGGGAAAUGCCUUUACCUGCAACGUGCUUACUAACCACCAAAGUCAGGGGGGUAACACCAUCUGAGAAAGAAGCACGCAAGCUGGGGGUCUGUCGUGCCGCUAUACACUUUCACAUACUGCCUACAGUAUCCAGUGCAAAAGGUCAGGCCUGCCAUAAUAAUCCCACAAUCUCCCCAGAGCAGUGUGAUUAAGGCCAACAAGAUGAUGAGACCGCUAGUUAUAAAGACUUGAAUGGACUAUUAAUGUGCAUAAGGGUCCUCCACACUAAGGAGAGUUAUGCAGGGUGGAUUAGAUUGCAAGGCUGUUGUCACUGCCCAAGGAGGGCACUGGGCUAAAGGCACAGGGAAAAGAUUCCUGUAGGUGAAGAGGAUGGGAGACCUCUGCCUGUUACCACCGAGUCGGUGGGUUGUGCCCAGACUACAUGUCCUAACCCAGAAAAAUGAAAUAGCCUUGCAAAUGGAAGCCAAUGUCACCACAAGAGGGAAAAUACAUCAGAGGCCUACCGUCUCUGUGUCACCACUUCAUUCACUACUGUUGCUCUUUGUCCCCUGACCCAAUGAGAUAUUGUGGGCUUAAUUGCUUGGUGUGGUGUUGCUAAAAAAUUAAUGAACAGAUAUAAAUGUCCUAAACAUCUGGUGCCAGCACCUCCUAAGAACCUUGAGGAGGCACACCAGCUCCUUGAUAACUGCAAAAGCCCAUGGAUGCUUCCUGGUUAUUAUUCAAUGUCAUGUACACCAACAUGCCAAGACUCUGGUUUAUGCCCCAGAGGCCUGGGGACUUUUCCCAACCACCCUGUGCAUAUCACACUACUGAAGGCAGACUCCCAUCCUGGAGAAGUCUCCUGGGACACCUUGGAAAAGAAAGCAGCCACCUAUGAAGAGGGCUGACAGUAAUGUCAUCCCCCAUUUUCUGGUAACAGCACAUAAGAUUAAGGUAACAGGAGAAAAACAAGUAGAAACUGAGAUAAAAAACCUAGUGAAAUUCAAACCUUUCUUAAAAAUUUUAUGCAGUAGGAAGGAGAGAAGAGAGCUAAUUGGCUAUUGUGGAUUUUCUUGUUUGUUUGGAACAGGCUCUAAAUUCCUCACAGUGGCCAAAAUGCAUUAACUGGCCAGCAUCUAAAGACCCUAAAAUCCGUAACUUUCUCAGAGAUCCAUCCGGGCUAUAUGCUCAUUCCUUCCGAGAUACCACAGAUCCUGAGCCCCCUUGGCUUUCCACUGAACGGCUUUCCCCUACCAGCAUGCCUCACGAGGUAUCCCUGCCCCCAUGGGAAGAGCUGACAGGGUUAUCGAGGGCUCUCCUGAGGAGGAAGCGGGAAUUGGGAAGACAAAGGCCCCUAGAGCCACUGAUACUCAUAUCCAAGCCCUCCCUCUCCUCACUUGGAUAUACACUACCUGGCGCUGUACCCAUCCUUCCAUCACAGUGAUCACUGCUAAGGUUCACGGAGGAAGCCCAUCUCCUGCUGCACAAAAUUGUCAUGGUCCAAUGGGUUCAUCAUUUCCAUGACCACAGUGACCCAAAAUACCCCUUCUUCAUUUCUAACCUGAAGAGGCCCCACUUGACCCUGAGAAUUGUUUUUACAGGGCACCCCCUAAUUACAGGGUGGUGUUACUACAUUUUGUGGGGACUGCUGAAGCCAUCCAAAAGGCACUGGAACUCCUAGGAGAAAACUUACAUUCUUUCUCUGUCCCUUGAAGAUGUAAAUCUUACCUUGUCUUGGUAAUGUAAACACCCCAGGAGGUAACUAAAACUCUGCCUGAGGUCAAAGGAAAAAAGGGGCAGAAGUAAGAGGCCUUUUAAAAUAGAAAUUGCUAUGAAAACUCUCUUUUCCAAACUCUAGUCCACAGCCUUCCUAAGAUUGUCAAGGGCAAAUACAAAUCUUAAAAGUCUCCACAAAUAGUAAAAAACUUUAGUCAUUGGAGUGGGUAACCUUAACUUGUUCCUCUGUUAGAAGCAGUUUGGAUUCAACUGUUAUUUAUAAACUAGUGAAUUUUAUAUUGUACCUGACCCAUGGCUAAAAUUUUGAAAUGGAAACUUAUAGGGUCUCUAUCUGCAUCUGCAUAUUUACGUAUGUCUGUGGAUGUAAGUUAUGUAUGUGAUUUUCUUUUUCCUUCUAACUCUGGAUGGAAUUGCCAAAAUUAAUUAGUAAAAGAACUCUAUUGAAUUGGCUUAAAAAUAAGCACUUACGAAUUAUUUCUAAAGCUCAAAAAUAUGGAAACUAACCCAAAUGUUUUUUGAGUUCAUGUGAUCUGGCAUAAUCUUUGGUAAAUAAAAGCUGCUUUCAGUUUGGUUUAAUUGAAAUAGGUAUGUCUUCAGGGUUGUCAGCAUUAAGUAUUAUGCAGAUAACAGCUUUUAUCCUACCUGGGUUUACUAGUCAAAUAAAUUCAUGUUAUCUAUUACAAAAUUUGUCAGCAAGAAAAGUAGCUUGGUAUGAUGACUGACAUCGUCUAGAGUCUAAUGAAGUUUUCAUGGGUGGUCUAAGCCUAGUUGUUGGGAGCAAAUAAUUUCGAUAGAUGUAAGUAGGAUAAGUGAGCUUUUCAGCAAUCAUUAUGUUAUGUCUACUUAAAAAUAGUCUGUCCGCCCUCCCUCUCCCCGCCCCCAAAAUAGUUUCCCAGACCUUUGGUAACUUCCAUCCUUAGAAUUUUGCUAAGUUAAAUUAAAUGAUGGGAAUUCAUUGAAUGUCUUCAUCAUUUCCAAAUAAGAUAAAAAUACUGAAACAUUAAUUGCUAAACAAGUCUAAGUUUACCUACAUUUGACCUUUUACUACAGAGGAAAUAAAGAUAUUUGGGCCUCUUACUAAACAUGUGUUGUGCCACAUUAAAAAAAUACUAUGAGGAAAUGUAUGUUUCUAGAUAUCAUGAAAUGUAUUCAUAAAUUUGCCAAUCUAAACAAUGCUGUGUAACAGUUCACAAUUUCUACUUCUUAGUUUUCGCUAGAAAUUAAGUUUUCUAAGGGUUAAGAAUUCUAAUAUAUAUAAUUAAAACUACUAGAAAUUAUACAGAAAACAAUUCUGUAUGUAAGAAAAGUAGGAUGUGUAGGGUUUUUAAAAUUUUUUAAAGAUUUAAUCUAUUUUUUGAUAGAGAGACAGCGAGAGAGGGAACAUAAGCAGGGGGAGCGGGAGAGGGAGAAACAGGCUUCCCACUGAGCAGGGAGCCUGACAUGGACUCGAUCCCAGGACCCUGGGACCAUGACCUGAGCUGAAGGCAGACGCUUGAUGACUGAGCCACCCAGGCACCCAGAUGUGUAGUGUUUUGUUUUAUUUUGUUUUUUUCCUUUUUUUUUUUCUUUUUUGGUUAGAAAAGGCAUGAGAUAUGGAAAUGCAUUUUUGUUGAGGGAAAUGAAAGUGAUUUUGUUCUAAAAUAAAGCUGGUUAUUUUAGAAUGGGAAAGAAGAAAAUGAAGGACAAACUGUGGACAUAGAAGGCCAGAGGGAGAGAGAUGGAAGGGAAAGAGAGAGAAGGAAUCUUGUGUAGUCAGGGUGGCUAAAAAUUGAAUUCCUAUUACAAGGAUUUUAAAAUUAAGCUUUAAUACCAAUAGCGCACUUAUGUAAAACUAAUUUUUAUCUCAUCUGCCAAAAAGACAGUCUUCUUAGAUUAUUGGUCUGCUCUUAACAAGAAAUCUAAACAAAGGCUUUUCUUUACCUUUUAAGUCAUCAGCUUGGAAAGCAAAGAUUUUGUGUCCUACCCACUGUGCUUCAGUCUGUCUUCAUCACGUCUUUGAUGAUGUAAACCAAGUCUUCUCUAUUAAAAGAGCUAAGUUUUGCCCAGAACGAUGUAAUCUUCUAUAUUUGCUUUUGAAAUCUUGCCUCUUAAAAUGGGUAAUUAAGUAUUGCAUCCAAGCCUUUUUGAUAUUUUGACAAAUCUUAUAAAAUUCAAAUUCUAAAUGAAGUAUUUUUGAUUUCAUACUAACUUGAGACUUUUAGAGAGUCCCUGGAACAUCUCAAAAGAUUUGUUCUCUCUCUCUCUCUCAAAACACUUGUAAUUCUAGUUACUAUCUUAAAAUUUAUGUCACAGAAAUAAUUAAAUUUCUGUUAGUAACAUAAGGAACUCUCAUCAGAUCUUAAACAUGGGCAUUUUUAAGUCUUUUGUCAUUUACAGACACUUACUGUUUUUCUCUGAUGCUUUUGCAAAAGUGGUCCAUCUUCAAGGAGAUUCAUGGAAAGGACUCUGACAAGUAUAGGUUUCUGAUAAUUUUCAGAUCAUACCACUGAACAGGGUAAGAAUUUAUAGGACUCUAAGGAAAAACUGGCCUUUUAAAAUAGAAAUUGCUAUGGAAAGGUCAAGAUUUAAUUACAUAGGACUAAAUGAGAAUGAGUCUAAUUUUAUAGGAUUUUUGUUCAAAACAUUGCUGGUUCUUUAAUCUUUUGUUUUCUAGAUUUAAGGAAACUUUUUUUUUUUUUUUUUUGCUAGCUAGCUAGCUAGCUAUAACUUACAGCAAUUUGGUAAAGUAUCUUUGUGAACAAAGAUGGAACAACUACUUUUUUUCCUCCUACCUGAUCUCUCCAGGAUUCAGAAACUCUUAGUGAGUAUUCUUAUUUUUGUGGCAAUAUAGUUAUUUGCAUAAGCUCAAUGAGAAUCUAUUCUCUUUGUAACAGGACAUACUUGGAAACAUUGGUUGUAUCACCAAGGCUUUGACUGUAUUGUCAUAUUUGAGAGAGAGAUGUAUAGACUCAGAUAUUACAAGACAGCUUUCAGGAACUAAGGUCGAUUUUAUGGAGCCAAUAAAGCCCCUUGGAAAAAUCGGCCUGAUACCUUGCUUGUACUGUUCCCAGCAGCCUUGCAAGGUGAGUAAGGAAGGUCACUUCCUGCUAGGUGCAGGAACCUCAAGAUACUUGGGGGGACCUCAAAAAGAGAGGAAUUAACCCAAAUCAAUAGGUAUUGCAGGCAAAAUCUGAUAAUGAGUCUUUGGUUUGACUUCCUAUCCUUGAGAGGCUUUGAAAGUUCAAUUUGAGAUUCCUUAUGAAAAGUUCCAGGAAAGCCAACCUAGGACCUAAUUGGCCAAUCACUAUUUUUGUUGCACUUAUGUAAAUAAUCAGGACAAGUUUGUUGAAACCAGACUUAAUUUGCAAACAAAUUGGCCUUACUAUGAUUAUCUUUGAUAGAAAUGGGGAUUGUAGAGAGAAAAAUCACAUUUCCGUAGAAAAAUACAUACUCGUGGAUAUUAGGUUCUAUUCCAGUUCUGUUAAUUGUGUUUGAGGUUUUGUUCUCUGUUAGAUCCUGAAUUCUUCUCAUUUCCUCCAAUACUUGGCUACAGCUCUUCAAAGUAACAUUUUCAUUUUUUCUCCCGCCCUUCUGGCUUGGAAUCAUUGAGAACUGCCCUUUCCCCAAAGCCAUGCAAAUUAAAGUGGGACAACUUUAUAUAAACUUAAGAGAAAUACAACAGCUGACGUAUGUACCAUCUUCGUGCCUGUCGCUGUGUGGGCCACUCAGGCAGAUCACCAGAGACAUGCAAACUGCAAACCAGGACCAUCAAUCAAAUCGCCACCGUCUGCCCUUACUCCAUUUGAACAUGCUUUAAGCCUGACAUCUAGGAAUCUCAACUGGCUACCCUCAGAACGCAGAAACUGGGAUUAUCAUCUAUUCUAAUCAUUAACCUUUCUUUUCUCUUGUUCCCAGAGAAAUGAAAUUUCUGUGAGAUUAAAGUUCUCACCUAAUUUGGGAACAUUUCAACCUUUAUUUCUUCAGAUAUUUUUUUCUGCCAUAUACUCUUUCUCUCUUCUGAAUCAUACUCCUUGAUAUUGUCCCUCAGUGAGGCUCUGUCCUUUUUUACAUUUCUCCUCUGUGCUUCAGGUUGUAAAAUUCCCAUUGCCCAUCUUUCAGGUUCACUGAUCUUCUGCAGCAUAUAAUCUGCUGCUGUUAAGCCCAUCCACUGAAAUUUAAAAUUUUGAUUUUAGAUAAUGUAUUUUCAGCUCCAAAAGUUAUAAAUAGUACUUUUUAAAAAUUCUUUUACUGUCUCUAUUGAGAUACUGUAUUUGUUUCCAAAUUAUUUCAUGCGUUCCAUUACAUCCUUAACCAUAUUUAUAAGAACUAUUUUAAAGUCCUUUUCUAUUAAUUCUGCCAUCUCUGUCAAUUCUGAGUCUGCUUCUAUUGACUGAUUUUAUCCUGCUUAUGAGUUACAUUCCCUUGCUUCUUUGCCUGUCUUAUAAUUUUUUAUUGGUGCUGGACACUGUGUUUACCAUGCUGUUGAAUUUCUAGAUUUUUUUGUCUUCUUUUCACAAGCAUGUUGUUUCAUCAGGCAGUUAAUUUACUUGCACAUCAGCUUGAUCCUUUCAAGUCAUGUUUUAAAGCUUUGUUAAGAUGGUUCUGUAGUAGAAGUAGAUGACAUUUCUCUUUAAAGGGCCAGAUUGUAAGUAUUUUAGGCUCUACAGGCUAUAUACAGUCUCUUACAAAUUCUUGGGUUUUGUUUUUGUUUUUGUUUUUACAUCCCUUUAAAAAUGUAAAAAAAAAAAAAUUCUUUGCUCAAAAGUUACACAAAACCAGGCUAUGGGGUGGAUUUAGCUUGUGGGCUGGACAGCCUUUCUGAGGUCUCUAUUAAAUGCCUGCUGUCAGGUCAGGGGCUAUUCAGUAUCUGAGAUUUUACCCUACUGGCAAGCCUGUGAUGGAUGUCUAGAUGCUGGCAGAAGACACGAGACGCCUAGGUCAGAGAACGAAGGACUUUAUUACUUGCCGCAGGCAGCAUGAACUCCAUGUUCUCAUUGGUUUCCCUUGUCCCCCAAACCUCAUGGAGGCAAAUGCAGAGUGGAUCCAAGUGGAUGUUACACUCACAGUGAGUCUGAAUCAUAGCUGAGGAAUCCUGAACUUAGAAAAUCUCUCAUUUUAUAAGAUAACUGCUAUCAAAUCUGCCCCAACUUUGCCCAGGAAGGAGGCAUUUUUUAUUAUCUUGGUCAGGAAACAAAUUUACCCUUUCUCCUGGAAGGCAACACUAUACCUGCCAAAGGCUACUGACUAUACAAACAUCCUUGGAAAGAUAGUCAAGGACAAAAGUUGUCACAAGAUAUGGAGACACGUCAUAGAAUGUUGUCUCCUAGCACCCCCCAUGUUUAAGAGGACUCUGUCCUGGUUAGAGUUCAAAUGCUUCCAUUUGUGAAAGCGUUGCCCAAGUCUCAGAUCCCCAGUAAUUCUUUCCCCAAGAGUUGUUCCUCUCCCAGGAGUUGUUUUGCCUGGCUUUAAGGGGUCCUCCCUAUGCUUAUGCAUCUUAAUAUUCAAACAAACAUUCAAGAUGACCCUUAUACAGAUUUCUGGAGCUCUGUCUCUGCACAUCUUUCUCCUCUCUGAUACCCUGUUACUCAAAUUGUAGUUACCUUCCUGAGUUCCACUCACUCUUUUUUUUGUUUUUUAAGAUUUAUUUAUUUAUUUAUUUGAGAGAGAGAGUGCACACACACAGGGAAGGGAUGGGGCAGAGGGAGAAAGAGAGAAUCCCAAGCAGACUCCUGGCAGAGCAGGGAGCCUGAUGCAGGGCUCUACCCCACGACCCCCAGAUCAUGACCCAAGCCAUUUGCUCUUAAACACAGCAAAACCACUGUGCUGUGCUUGAGUUCUGCCUUUCUGUUUGUCAAUCCACAGAGAGCCUCCAGGCAGACAACUGGGGCACUUGAGGAACUCAUUUGUUUUGUUCCUCCCAGGGAUUACAGCCUCUUAGUGCUUGUUGUUCAAUUUCUGAAAAUGGUUGUUUUAUAUAUUUUAUCUAUUUUUAUAACUUUUUAGAGCAGGAACACUGGUCCGGUGUCACUUACUCCAUCAUUGCCCAGCUGUCUUUUUUACCAUUAACCUUAUAUGUUUUGGAAUUUGGACUUGCACAAUCACUUUGAGUGGGAGAUAUUUCUGUUAUCCUUUCCUACCCCAUCUCCAACUUGAUGAGUAUUUCCACCUGAGCUUAUCUCCACUGCACGCUCCAGUCUAGAACCAGAUAGUAAAAUGACUUGAGAGGCCAUUAAUGCUCCUGAUCCAUGUCAUUAAUAUGGCUCAUCUAGUGUCUAAACCAGCUGGUAUCUCAGUUCAUUUGCUGCAGUAUUGUUUGUCUUUCGUCCUUUGCUUUCCUGUUCUGGGUCCACUGCUUCCCAUAAAUCCACUGGCAACCAGCCAGUAUAUUGGCAGUAGGUUUAUUCCAUUUCCUUCCAUGGGGCGAGGGAAAGUUGGGUGACCCAUCAUCGCUGUUUGCCCAGAACCACGGGAUUUCCUGGGAUUUGGGAUUUUCUGGGCUAAAACAGGGAGAGUCCAGGGAAAACCAGGAUGGUUGGUCUGCUCCAGGUCCUGGCUUUUGGUAACAUCGCUGGUUUUGGUCUCCAUCUUGAGUAGAGCAUUUUAGCCCCAGUAUUCCACCAGAGCUGGAUUUCCACUUGCCCCUAGCUGCUUUAACACUCGGAGCUUGAUAGGCUGCAGCAUUUGCCCAGCUCACUGCUUUGCAUUUCUGUUGCAUUUCUGGUCCACAAAGAUGUUUAUCUUGUUUUCUGAGCCCAGCAAUGACCUUUUGGUUUUCUCUUUUUCUAUUGUAUCUGUCAUUAUUGUGUGUUUAGAGCAUACAGGAUGAAUUGAAGCGUGAAUUUACUGUGCCACCUUGACUAGAAAUUCUGCUGAUUCUUUUUCAAUUUGAUAUUGUCUCAGUUUACGAAAUUAUGUAAUUUAACAGCCUGCUUGAUUUAGAAGCCCUCACAGCCCUUUCAGUCAUUUUGAGGGAUCCCAAAUCACAGAAAUUCAAGUGAAAUGCAGUCAUUGUCCAUAUAGUGGUUCUACUCUUUUUUUUGAGGGCAUCAUAACUCAGCAUUUGAGUUAGAAAAGAACAAAAAGGAAUCGGAUUCUAGCUGCUCCAUCCUACAUCUUCUGCUUGAUAAAAAUGGUAUCAGGCAGUGCUUUACCAUCAUCUUUACCUCCACUUCUAGUUGCUCUCUUUUUCUUAUUUCUCCAUUCCUGAAGGGGCAGAGGAAGAAAGUCAAAGGGAGGCCAGGGCAAUGGUUGCCAACCUCUUUGAAAAUGAAGGGUCUUUCUCCCUUCCCCCGGUCUAAUAAGUUCUUUUUUUUUUUUUAAUUGAAGUAUAGCUGACACAUAAUGUUACAUUAGUUUCAGGUAUACAACACAGUGAUUCAACAAGUUUAUGUUAUGCUGAGCUCCCCACAAGUCCAGCUACCACCUGUCACCAUACAAUGCUAUUGCAGUACCAUUGACUAUAUUCCCUAGGCUGUACUUUUUUUUUUAAGAUUUUAUUUUAUUUGACAGAGAGAGACACAGUGAGAGAGGGAGCAGGAGAGGGAGAAGCAGGCUCCCUGCCGAGCAGGGAGCCCGAUGCGGGGCUCGAUCCUAGGAUCCUGGGAUCAUGACCUCAGCCAAAGGCAGAUGCUUAACGACUGAGCCACCCAGGCGCCCCUCCUAGGCUGUACCUUUUAUCCCCAUGACUUACUCUUUCCAUAAUUGGAAGCCUGUAUCUCCCACUCCCCUUCACCCAUUUUGCCCAUUCCCCUACCUUCUCCCCUUUGGCAACCAUCAGUUUGUUCUCUGUAUUUAUGGGUCUGAUUCUGCUUUUUGUUUGUUUAUUUGUUUUGUUUUUUUACAUUCCACAUUUAAGUGAAAUCAUAUCGUAUUUGUUUUUCUCUGUCUGACUUAUUUCACUUAGGAUAAUACCUUCUAGGUCCAGCCAUGUUGUUGCAAAUUCAAAAACAAGAUCUCAUCCUUUUUAUGGCUGAGUAAUAUUCCAUUAUAUAUAUAAUAUAACAUAUAUGUUAUCCAUUCAUCUAUCAACACUUGGGUCACUUCCAUAUCUUGGCUUUUAUAAAUAAUGCUGCAUAAUCAUAGGGAUGCAUGUUUCUUUUUGAAUUAGUGUUUUCAUUUUCUUUGAGUUAAUAGCCAGUAGUGGAAUUAUUGGAUCUUGGGUAGUUCUAUUUUUAAUAUUUUGAGGAACCUCCAUACUGUUUUCCACAGUGGCUGCAUCAAUUUACAUUCCCACCAGCAGUGCACGAAGGUUCCUUUUUCUCCACAUCCCUGCCAACACUUAUUUCUUUUCUUCUUGAUUCUAGACAUUCUGAUAGGUGUAAGGUGAUAUAUGAGGUUCUUUUUUCUGAAACCUCAGUCUGUUUUUGGAGAACACCAGGAUUUUCAGAUUCUCUGUAAUAACUUUGGAGCCCUCCCAAAGAGUUACUACUCAUGAAAUUAGGCAAAAGGAACCAUUUUUUUUUUCAGUAUAAAUAUUUCAAUUUAUACGGCAAGGCUUUUACACUGACAUUAAAAGAGUGAAGAACCACGGAGCGCCCGAGUGGCUCAGUUGGUUAAGCAUCUGACUCUUGAUUUGGGCUCAGCUCAUGAUCUCAGGGUCAUAAGAUUGAGCCCUGCACUGGGCUCUGCGCUCAGCAGGGAGUCUGCUUGAGAUUCCCUCUCUCCCUCUUCCUCUGCCCCUUGCCUCACUCACACACACUCUCUCUCUGUGAAAUAAAUAAAUCUUAAAAAAAAAAAAAAAAGCAAAGAGCCAGAAGAGAAAAGCAUUUUAGUUAUUUAAACUAAAUUUUUUAUGGAAUUCAAAGUUUUAUAUAGAGAGAAAAUUACAAGCUAUACAAUGUUUUUGGAAAAUAAGCUUCCAUAUUUGUUUGCCUCAAACUAUAGUUUAUCUGUAUUCUUUUAGAUUUUUUAAAAACAAUUUUCAGUUUUUUGUUCUUCCAUUCUAUUAAAAAUAACAAUUCAAUUUGUCUUGCAGAUUUGUAGUGAACAUUUAAAAUAUUUUUACUGGAUUAAUGAGUUUUUGAAAAUAAGGGUUUUGCAUUUUAAACCCAAGUAUCUAAAUUUUUAUGCAAACCAGGAUGCCUGGUUGGCUCAGUCCAAAGAGCAUGCCACUCUUGAUCUCAGGGUUGUGAGUUCAAGCCCCACAUUUGGUGUAGAGAUUACUUAGAUAAAUAAAUAAACUUAAAAAAUAUUAUGCAAAGCAAGCUUCUGCCAUAGUAUAAAACUAAUGAAGUGGCAAAAAUAUUACCUAGGGCAAAGUAGUUCACACUAACCAUUUUAGCUCUAUGUAGAAAAAUAUUCUCAUCACUUAGCUUUGGUCUUCUGCUCUUAUUUUUAUUUUUUCUUAAGUUUAUUUAGUUAUUUUUAGUAAUCUCUACACCCAUCAUGGAACUCGAACUCACAACCCUGAGAUCAAGAGUCUCCUGCUCUUGCUCCUGAAUGGCAUGGUAUCACCUUCUUUAAGAACCAGUCUAUUUUUAACAAAAGUAAAGUAAAUAUGUGCUUACAUAUAACUCAGUAAAUAACUGCUCACAUGAUGGAAUUACAUAUUUUCUGGGAGGUGAUUUAGUAAAACCUAAAUGAUUCAAGAAAUUACCUUAUUGUUUUAUCUGUUUCUUUGUUAGAGAAAUUAGUUGGAAAAACACCUUGUUUGGGUGUUUAAAAAUAUCUCCAUUGGUAGCUGAUGUGUGAUUACUGACUUGCAGUAUGGGCAAGUUACAAAAUGAAAUGAAGAGCUAUCAUUUAGCGACUGAGAACACACUUUGCUUAUUUAACUAGGACUAAGUACUGCUGGAGCAAGUUCAGUGCUAAAAUUAGACAUUGGGGUUGAUCCAAUAGCAGUGCAAGUUCUAAUCCUUUAGAAAUCAUAGUCUGUUGGUUCAAAUCAGGACACUGCAAUGUGAGAAUAUAAUCACUUAUGCCAUGUUCUUAUGAGGCCAUUAUGUGCUGGCUGUCUCCAUUACAGCACAGUAGAGUUACCAAAGCUAGAACUGGUAGCAGGAGUACCUACCUGCAGGUUGGGUUUUAUUUAUUUUUUUCUUUUUUGUUUUUCUUUGAUAUAUGAGAAGAGCCUUUGAGAAUGAUAUCUAAUUUCCUAUUGCUCUGGCCCCAUGACCCCUCACAAAUAAAACAUAUAUAUAUAUAUAUAUAUAUACUGGAAAGCACGUAUUAGGUGAGGACAGCAUACUAGAACCUAGAGGUUGUAGAAAAUUAAUGGGAAAGAUAAUUGAUAAGAGUGGGAAGAGAAUGGGUCUUGGAGUCAGAUAUAUCUUCCUAUGAAUCCCAUCUCCACCCUACUCUCUAUAACCUUGGAGAAAUCACUUAAUUUCUAAGGGCCUCUUAGCUUUCUUAUCGGAUUUAAAUACACACACACACACCCACCCAAAGCAGAAAUUGCCAGAUCCUGAGAAAAUGUCUCCCCUGUUCCCCUACCACCGUUAUUAAGAGAAUUUAAAUAGAUAGCUAGAUAGAGUUUUAUUAGCUUAGCAUUUCUUUCUUUUUUUUUUUUAAAAGAUUUUAUUUGUUUAUUUGACAGAGAGAGACACAGUGAGAGCAGGAACCCAAGCAGGGGGAGCGGGAGAGGGAGAAGCAGGCUUCCCGCUGAGCAGGGAGCCCGAUGCGGGGCUCGAUCCCAGGACCCUGGGAUCAUGACCCGAGCCGAAGGCAGACGCUUAACGACUGAGCCACCCAGGCACUCCUAGCUUAGCAUUUCUUAUGUGCCAGGCAUUGUGCUACACGUUCUCUCAUUUACUCUUACAUGCCCAUGAAGUCCCGGAGCUCAUAUAGUCCUUACAUAUGUCUCUAGAUUUCUUGCCUACAGGUAUGUGGCCAGAAAGUGGCAGAACCAGGAAUAGAGUCCAGUGCUCUUAACCACUAUAUUUCAGCCUCACAAAAAUCAAAACCUCUUAGAGAUAGCCUACCAAUUUCGAUUGUAAUGACCAUUAGUUUCUCACCAUAUUUAAUAUUUUUUAAACAAAUUUACUUUUGAUGCAUGUAUUAGUUUGUUAGGGCUCCCAUAACAAAAUACCACAGACUGAGUGGCUUAAACAACAGAAGAUUAUUUUCUCACAGUUCCGGAGACUGGAAGUCUGAGAUCAAGGUGUUGGCAGGUUGGGUUUCUUCUGAGGCCUCUCUCCUUGGCUUGCAGAUGGCCUUCUUCUUUCUGUGUCCUCACAUGGUCAUCCCUCUCUCUCUGUUGUUUGUGUCCUUAUCUGCAUUUCUUAUGAGGACUCUAGUCAUUUUGGAUUAAUGACCCCAUUUUAACUUAAUUACCUCUUUAAAGGCCCUAUCUCCAAACACAGUCACAUUUUGAGAUCCUGAGGGGUUGGGCUUCAACACAUGAAUUUGAGAAGACACAAUUCAGCCCAUAAUGAUGCAUUUGUAGCAUAAACCAUGUGAUACCGAAUAAAAAAGAAAAUAACCCCUCUAUAGUGUUGACUGUGUGUCCAACACUGUGUAAAACAUUGCAUGCAUUCAUUUAAUCCAUAUGAGCUAGGUACUAUUCUUAUCCCUAUUUGUUACUGAGAGGUUAAGUAGUGGGUCCAGAGUCACAUAGGUAGUAAGUGGUAGGACAGGAUUUGAAUCCACACAGUACAGACUCUGUACUCAUCCACUAUAUUCUACUGCCCCUCUCAACAAGAAGCAUCCCAUUUGGAACAAAGAAACAGAAAACACAGUAAUCUCUAUCUGAGGUAAAAUUAUAAUUAACUUCAAAAGUCUGUAUAUGUUUAAUUAGCGAUUACGAGGCUGUCGUAUAUGAAAAAUAAUGAAGCAGCUUUCAUUUAUUCUUUUGUUAUGGCACAAGUAAUAAAACAGUCACUUAGAAAAUGGCUAAGAAAAUUCUUUCUAGCAUUCUACUCUAUGUAAUGAAGAGUUAGUUAAUACAAAGUAUUUUUUUCUAAAUCUUCAAAAGCAAAUAGUAGGUACAAUGAAGUAUCAAUAUCUGAAGACCUAGGACACAUAUGCCUCACUUCUGGUUUUUCUCCUAAGGGGAUAUAGUUCCUGCUUUAGCCCAUUUUACUGAAGCAAAAAAAAGGAGCUGAUUUCCAUAACUGGAGAUGUUGGGUUCAGAGAGAGCAAAACACUUGUUCCAGCCACUGAACUAAGUCCACAGAAGGCAAGAACUUGGAGCCAGAGGUGACUAGGAAAAGAAAUUGUAAACUACUCCCAUCCCCUUCCAGAAUCCCCAACAGGAAGGAAUGUAGGGCUCCCACCACACAAAGGAAUGGGAUUUGAGCCAAUUUAGUUGAAUCUCAAAGGACAGCAUUCCUCAGCUCACAUCUGGUUUAAACCCAAGUAAGAAAAAGAAUAGAUCUGAGGUUAGGAAACGCUGCUAUGGUGCUUGCUUUACCAGUCAUUUUAGUAUGUCAACAGAUGCUUACAGUUUGGCAACUGGCAGGAUUUCCAAAGAUGAGUUAAUGCAAGUUUACAGAGCCCUUACGGUCACAUUCUAAGUUGGACAUAAUCAAAUAUGAACAUGAAUAGUGGAGAUACAGUGGUAACUGUAUGGGAUUGUAGAGGCCACUGCUGACUGAAGUUAUCAAGGCAAACUCAAUGGAGAAAAGGUGGGUUUGAUAUGGACCUUGAGAGAUAGGAUUUGCUGAGUGGGGCGUAGUGAAGGCAUUUUCGCCUGAAGAUUCCACAGCAGCUGGGGGCAUGAAGGCAGGAAUGAGGGAAGCAUGUGGGAACAAUGAAGAGACAUCCUCUCUGGAACAGACAGAGUUGGGAGGGAGUAACGGGACAGACUUGAGGAUCAGACAGGGGCUCAGAUUAGGACUAUGGCUUCAUGCUGGAGAUCAGCAUUAUUAUUCUGUUAGCUGAACUGCUCAUCGAAGUUACCUCAUUUCUCUAAACAUGUUUAUAGGAACCCAUCUCAACAGAACUAAGUGCUUUGCAUUUAGUAGCAUGUUUGUUUUCUUUGAGGCUGCUCAGACCAGAACAGACUCGGAGGACCGCUCUCCAUUCCUGAGUCACGUCAGGCCUACUUGAGCUGGGAAAUCAGGCAGCUGUUGGCCCUCGGCCUCCAUAGACUCAGGCCUGGCUAGAGACCCUGGAGUAAGCUUUCGUAGUUCUAAGUGCCUGACUGACUGGGGUUGGGAGGAGAGCACCCUGCCUGCGAGGGCAGAUAACCUGAGAAAUGGCUUCGCCUUCUGGAAUCAGUGACAUACUCACUCUCUGUCUGCAUGUCAUAAACCCUAUGAGGGAAGAGCUCUAUAGAAUUUUGAGGCCCUCCCUCCCCCCGCCACCCCUCAGGCCAUCUUGCAGUAGUAGAAAGAAGUUUUGGUGUUCACAGACCUUUAUUUGACUUCUGACCCUCUUGUGUGACUUUAAUUACUAAACUUUAUGGGACUUUUAUUUUUUAAUCUGUAAAACAGCCCAGUAACUAAGCAGUUACUAUUAACUCUCUUCCUCCUCUUUUGUGACUUCUCUCCGUCCCUGACAUUUUUGAGGAAUGUCUUUUUGUGAUUGUGAGUUCUGCUGUCAAGAAGGUGAAAACCCUGUCGUUUAGGAGGCCUGUGGAUCCUGAAGAAAACAUGGGGAUGGAUGGAGUUGGCCUGCCCCUGACCUCUCUGUCCACAACUGUGUGUUUAUUUCCUGAGGAUAGGAUUUCAAGUCAACCACAGCCAGUCCUUCAGAUAGUCCAAAGGGUCCAGAGUUCUUGGAAAUCAUCUCAGAGUAGGGGGAUCAACCACCCUUAUUUGAGUUUAAAACAAGAAAUAAUGGCUUAAGGCCAUUUUGUGCCCUAAAGCAUAUAAAAAUUAAGGUUACAUGUGACAAAGCAUUUUAUGAGUUCAGAAACAGCUGCGCAAGGCCAUAAACUAUCAUAUUACAAAACUGCUACCAUUUCUAAUGUUCAAGGCUCCAACUACAAGUUUGUCCUUAGAAAUUGCAGCGUAAUUUGCGUGUACCCAAUUGUGCUUGCACUAAGAAGCACAGAGUUUGCUGGUUAAUAUUUUGCCUAUAUCUGAAUCCUGAAAAUAACUACCUCAUAGCGCAGAACAGAGUGCGCGUUGUGAAGAAUAUAUUCCAGUUGGUUAGCAAUGGAAGGUACAUUUUUCCUAUGCCCUCUUGCCUUUCAUUUCUAAACACAUUUGCCUCUCUCCUGAAGCAGAGGAGACUAUGAGAGCAGCUGCAGCAAGCAGCUGUAGAAUCUUCUGGGUCACCUGCUCCCCUGCUUUGCAGACUGUCCCGUCCUCUGCUCCCAGCUGUCCUUUUCAUCCUUUCAAAAUGGCCCACGGCCCUCUUCUGCCCAGUGCCCCACCUGAGUUCUGGCUCUCUCCCUCCACUGAUUUCAGGGGAUUUGGCCUGGUGUCCCCUUGCUUUUAUCAUUCUUGAUGGUAAAAGAAAUCACUAAUCAAAACAUUUUUGUCAUAUGAAGAACAACUGGAGGGAAAAAACAAAGUCUAUCGGUGCUUGCUGCAGCCCUUGCAAGUUCUGCUUGUCAUUUUUGGUGGAGUUCUUUCCCAUGUGCUGCCAUAUCAGUGUAUGUAAAGCUAUAAUUUUACAUUUGCAUGCAGAGGCCAGAUGAUGAUGACUCUUUGAGGAGAGGCCCUCCGCAGGAUUACCUUGGGAAAAAUGAUUUAUUCAUCCCAUGCAUAGGAAACAGCUACACCAGAGGCCGUUCCCUGUAACUUUGCACGGAGUGCUUAGGGACCUCUCAGCCCCUGCCAGCAUUUCUCUCAGGGCAUAAUAAACUGAUCUAACCGGCAGCUACGGAACUUCUGUUUUUUCCAUGUAUAGUUGAGCCGAAGCUUCUCUCUAAGGUAGACUAUGGGAGCUAGUGCAGGACAAGUUCCUUUGCAGAAUAUGUUAAAGUCAUUUCUGUUCCCCGGCUUAUAGGGAAGAGCCAACUCAUUUUGGCUGGUCCUUUUAAUGUUGUUUGAUUUCGAACACUUAGAAAAUGGGCUUGCCUUCCUUUUUCUCUUUUUGAAAAAGCUAUUAUGUUGUUUUAAAACAUACUAAUUUUAGACCUCGGGUAAUACCUGAUCCAAAUACUAAGUUAAAACAAAAUAUUUUUAAUAUAGUUGAUUUAUAACACAUUACACACACCAAGCAUAGAAAGCAGGUAAAAACAAAUUAUAUGUUUUACUUUACUAUGUUAGCAAUAGAGUAGUCUGCCUUGGAAAACAAUAUAAAUCAUCUUUUACCACUGCUCUUGAAAGUAAUUCGGGGUUAACAGAAUCUAAAUUGCACCUGUCAGAACUGCCAGUAAUAUCUUCAGUUUUCACUGACUAUACUCUCCCUUCUCUCUCCAUAACUAAUGGAGCAGUGGCACAGUUUCCGCAAAGAAAAACAAAGGUGGAAGAAAGGAAAGGAAGACUUUAUAAAGUUUCCUUUGGGUAUGUAAGGGGGUGGACCCUAGCAUAUAAGUACACCGGCAAAGUAUACCUACAAUAGGGCAGUACUGUGCACCAGACCGGGUAGGUCGGUGUGGUAUGUGCCAGAACAGGCCCAAAGCCCCGUUUCUCACAUAAAUAGAGCAGUUUCUACCUAGCAGUAAAUAUAUUACUGCUUUAUGCCGGGGCGGGGGGGGAGGGGCGGUGGACCCCGGCUAAAUCUUAAAUAUCACAGCACACAAUAAGUGUUUCUUUUUUUUUAUUUUAUUUAUUUAUUCAUGAGAGAGAGGCAGAGGGAGAAGCAGGCUCCCAAGGAGCAGGGAGCCCGAUGCGGGACUCGAUCCCAGGACCCUGAGAUCAUGACCUGAGCCGAAGGCAGACGCUUAACCAUCUGAGCCACCCAGGCGCCCACAAUAAGUGUUUCUUUGCUUAGAAAUGUAAAAAGAAUGUGCUUGCAAAUGUUAAUUAACUAAAACUGAGAGUAAAUACUUUGUGAAGAAUAGAUAAGAAGCUAGAACAAUUAAACCUCAGUUGGCGAGGGCCAACUGUGAAAAUACAGAAACUCUGAGCUGGAAGGAUUUGAUUAGACCUCUAUAAAUAAAAUCCUACAUCCCCUUUGUAACAUCCCAGUGAAGUGGUCAUUCUGCCCUUGUUUUAAAUACUGUAGGUGUAGAGAUAGCCAUUACUUCGGAGUGCAUCCAACCUCAAGUUCUUACUUAGGGAAAUAUACUUAAUCUGUACCUAUACAUUCAUUUGAAUCUGAUUCUUCCCCUUCACCCCACACAGCAUAGAUCUAAUCCUGCUACCACCCUUCAAAUAUCUGAAGACCAUCACCGUGACUUGUAACUGUUCUUUAACUGAGCCAUCACUAACCAAGACUUGUCUCCUAAACCCGUCAUAGCAGAAGCUGUAUCCAUCCACACCACUCAGCAGCUGAAAGAGCCUCAUCCCUAAAGCAGAUCGGUGCUGGUGCUUCUCAGUUGAUGGGCCUGUGCUGUGGUUGUGUUGAUGAGUUACUGCUGAAGACACUGGAGCCAGACAGGGGAGGUCCUAAGCCUAGAAAGCCCAGGAAGAGCCCUGAGUCCUAACUGAGUUGGCACAGGCCCUGUAAUGUUUCACCUUUGCCAAAAGCCAAACACAAAGACUAGUAAUUCAUGUCAUUGACAUUCAACCAAGCCUUUAAUUUGGAGGUUAGGGCCUUGAGCCCCAGCUCUGCCACUGGCCAGUUGCAUGCCCUUGGGCAAUCCUCCCCACCAUUUCAGAGCUCCCCCUCUGGUAUUUAAAGUCCUAUGCUGCUUUUCUGCCUAGAAAGGUGCCCCUUCUCCUGGCCUUAGGUCUGAUGUCAUUUCUCCAGGAACCCUGGCCCGACUCCCACCCCUUCCCUACCCUGAGACUAACUAAGCCUCUGUCUGCCUUUGUACCCUCUGCUCACCUCUAUGGUAGCACUUUCUUCGUUGUGUGUUAAUAACCUGCUUACUUGUGCCUACAGUACUGGAAAUUCUUUAAGACUAAGGACUCAGCCUUGGUUCCCAGCACUUGGUUCCCAGCACUUGGUUCAGUGCCUGGUGCAACAGCAGACCUCAGAAAAUAUUUCUUGAGUUUUAAAAAAAGAAGAGAGGAAAGAGAAGACAGAGAGGACGAAGAUAAAAGGAGCAAGUUGGAGUACAUUAUCUAAAUAGCCUCGUACAGCUAAAAAUCUAUAAUUUCUGGUUCUCGAAUUCCAUCCUUAAUGUCAACCCCGGGUUUUUAGAAAUUCAGAUUUGCUCUAGUAAGGGGAUGUUUCAAGUGGUUACACCAAAUUAGAAAAACUAUAAAUAUAUACUCAUACAUAUAAUACAACUUUAGGACUGAUAUUUAGAACUCAUUUAGUGAGCCCAGACCUUCUUUUAUAGGUGAGGAAACUGAGGCACAACGAAAUUAAGUUCUCUGCCUAAACCCACCUGGUUAGUGGGGAGACCAGAUUUCAAAUCCUGAUCUCUCUUGCCCCUGAACCAGGAUAGCUGGUCCCUCAACUUCU
Molecule: long non-coding RNA, 29898 nt
Organism: Mirounga angustirostris (Northern elephant seal)
Lineage: Eukaryota; Metazoa; Chordata; Mammalia; Carnivora; Phocidae
Exons: 2
Source: RefSeq, a predicted model, not a curated record